RNAcentral lists this long non-coding RNA (628 nucleotides) under Physcomitrium patens. RNAcentral's name for it is "long non-coding RNA (PPAT_LNC003558)". Lineage: Eukaryota; Viridiplantae; Streptophyta; Bryopsida; Funariales; Funariaceae. The record is from RNAcentral.
GAAGUCUUGCUUGAGAAUGCUCCAGGCACCUAGCUGUAGAAAGAAGAAUAGAAAUUGCAAUAACAAAAUCCUAAAUAGAAUACUAACAAUGCUCUAAUUAGACUAUAAUAAUGAUAAACAAACGUAAUCAAAUUCAAAACAACUCAAAGAAAUUUCAAACAAACAAUAAAAUUCUUAAAGAAAUAUUAGAAUGAUCACAAAUUUUACUCAAAUAUAUGUCAAUUCAACCUUAAUUUAAUUCUAGUUAAAACCCUAUGGAAUUUCACUCAACUUUAGACCAAACCUAAUUAAAUCUUAAACCCUAAUAAUUCCUAAACCCUAAGUCAAAUCCUAAAUAAAUCUUAAAUUAAAUCCUAUUCCAAAUCCUAAAUCCUAAACCAAACCCUAAAUCAAACCCUAAACCAAACCCUAAUCCAACCCUAAACUCUAAACCAAACCUUAAAUCAAAUCCUAACCAAAUCCUAAUCCAAAUCCUAAAUCAAAUCCUAACCAAACCCUAAAUCUUAAUCCAAACCCUAAUCCAAUCCUAAACUCUAAUCCAAAUCCUAAACCCUAAUCCAAACCCUAAUCCAAAUCCUAAUCCAACCCUAAAUCAAACCCUAAACCGAACCCUAGCCAAAUCCUAAUC